Molecule: transfer RNA, 73 nt
Filed under: Sporolactobacillus sp. THM7-7
Lineage: Bacteria; Bacillati; Bacillota; Bacilli; Caryophanales; Sporolactobacillaceae
Description: tRNA-Thr
Rfam family: tRNA
About the family: Transfer RNA (tRNA) molecules are approximately 80 nucleotides in length.
Source: RNAcentral
GCUUCCAUAGCUCAGCAGGUAGAGCACUUCCAUGGUAAGGAAGGGGUCACCAGUUCAAGUCUGGUUGGAAGCU